This 249-nucleotide unclassified non-coding RNA is filed under the name Hevea brasiliensis (rubber tree). Lineage: Eukaryota; Viridiplantae; Streptophyta; Magnoliopsida; Malpighiales; Euphorbiaceae. The record is from RNAcentral.
GAUUUUGUCAGAUGUUCAAAUUGAUUACUGCUACUUGCAAAUUAAAGGAUAUCAGUUUUGCUAGUGGAACUGUGAAAGAAGUGAACACAUUGCAAUGUGAAAAAAAAGUUAAAUCCAAAGGGUUUUAUUUUAUUUAUUAAUAUUUUAAUUAUUGAAUCAAAUCUGUAAAGAAGGGGAGCAUUGAGAAAGGCAACAUACAAAUUGUCAUCUUGUGACUGGUGUACUCCUUUCCUCUCUCUCUCUCUCUCU